CCGUUCCAAGUACCUAAAUGGUUGUUUGUGAUGACAUCCAUGUCCUUCCACUCAUUGAUUAUGUUCUCUUGGGCCUCUAGUACUUCUUGAUGUUCACUUUAACACUCUCGUAUCCGUUUGCGUAGCUGAUAAUUGACUUUUGCUGCAGUCUUCUCAUCAAUAACCCUGUGACCAUGGACGAAGCCUGUUUUCCCAAGCCAAUAUGAUCGUCUUCUAACCAUCC
This 223-nucleotide long non-coding RNA is filed under the name Nicotiana benthamiana. RNAcentral's name for it is "long non-coding RNA (NBEN_LNC005774)". Lineage: Eukaryota; Viridiplantae; Streptophyta; Magnoliopsida; Solanales; Solanaceae. The record is from RNAcentral.